This 484-nucleotide ribosomal RNA is filed under the name uncultured bacterium. RNAcentral describes it as "partial 16S ribosomal RNA". It matches the Rfam family "Bacterial small subunit ribosomal RNA", at positions 30 to 507 of the family's 1533-position model. The record is from RNAcentral.
AUUGAACGCUGGCGGCAGGCCUAACACAUGCAAGUCGAGCGGAUGAAGGGAGCUUGCUCCUGGAUUCAGCGGCGGACGGGUGAGUAAUGCCUAGGAAUCUGCCUGGUAGUGGGGGAUAACGUCCGGAAACGGGCGCUAAUACCGCAUACGUCCUGAGGUAGAAAGUGGGGGAUCUUCGGACCUCACGCUAUCAGAUGAGCCUAGGUCGGAUUAGCUAGUUGGUGGGGUAAAGGCCUACCAAGGCGACGAUCCGUAACUGGUCUGAGAGGAUGAUCAGUCACACUGGCACUGAGACACGGUCCAGACUCCUACGGGAGGCAGCAGUGGGGAAUAUUGGACAAUGGGCGAAAGCCUGAUCCAGCCAUGCCGCGUGUGUGAAGAAGGUCUUCGGAUUGUAAAGCACUUUAAGUUGGGAGGAAGGGCAGUAAGUUAAUACCUUGCUGUUUUGACGUUACCAACAGAAUAAGCACCGGCUAACUUCGUG